Molecule: transfer RNA, 71 nt
Filed under: Marmota monax (woodchuck)
Lineage: Eukaryota; Metazoa; Chordata; Mammalia; Rodentia; Sciuridae
Rfam family: tRNA
About the family: Transfer RNA (tRNA) molecules are approximately 80 nucleotides in length. Their secondary structure includes four short double-helical elements and three loops (D, anti-codon, and T loops). Further hydrogen bonds mediate the characteristic L-shaped molecular structure. tRNAs have two regions of fundamental functional importance: the anti-codon, which is responsible for specific mRNA codon recognition, and the 3' end, to which the tRNAs corresponding amino acid is attached (by aminoacyl-tRNA synthetases). tRNAs cope with the degeneracy of the genetic code in two manners: having more than one tRNA (with a specific anti-codon) for a particular amino acid; and 'wobble' base-pairing, i.e. permitting non-standard base-pairing at the 3rd anti-codon position.
Source: Rfam by way of RNAcentral
GUGGCUGUGGCUCAGCGGUAGAGCACUUGCCUUGCUCGUUCGAGACCCUGGGUUCAAUCCUCAGCACCACA